Molecule: long non-coding RNA, 1318 nt
Organism: Rattus norvegicus (Norway rat)
Lineage: Eukaryota; Metazoa; Chordata; Mammalia; Rodentia; Muridae
Source: Ensembl
AGAGAGCUUGCGCUCACCCGGCAGGAGCAAAAGGUCGGAGCAUUUGUGACUCCUGGCUUUUCCGUGGCUUAUGGCAAAAAUCACAUUCAUCUGAGACACAAAUGCAGUUUUAGGAUUUCUCCUGCGUGUAAAAUUUAAAGCGGAUAAAGUUGAAACCGGAUCCUUAAGUUUCUGUAAACAAAAAUGAUAGAGUGAAAAUGUAUUUCAAAAUUAGAAGAUGAAAGGCUUUUGAAGGGAUUCAGGUUCCUGUCUCGUUGGCUUCUGUUUCUGCCUUCGAGUUUGUCAAAAAUACCUAAAUACAACUGCCUUUUCACAGCAUUUUUUUUUAAAACAUGUUGGUGUUUUCUGAGUUAGGGAACCUGUCAAACUUCCCCAUGUUUUCCCAGCAAGUGUUUCCUCCCAUGGUUUUACACGCCGAUUUUCUCUGCUUCUGUCUUUUCAUUUUCAUCUUCCUUCUAAAACGUGCACGAGACCCAAGAUUGUAACAUUGUAAACACUCAAAUGCAUAUAUUGAGCGUCUACAGCUAUGAAGUACACUUACGACGUCACCUGACUCAACAUUUAACAAACGUUUUUAAAGGAAAGCAGCACAGUAAUUUUCUUCCCCGAGAGCAUUCACUAUUGGGAAUUAUCCACAUAUUUCAUUGCUACUGAUAUUUAAAAUGUCUUUGGAUCUCUCCUUUUGAAAUGCCCUUAGCAACCUGAAGAACAUUUAAAGUCCAUAAAUAUUCAGCAGCGUGGGCCAUCAGUCUUCAAGGGUGAUUGAGGGACAAGGGCAGAAUAUUUAUUUUUGAAAUAUAUAAAAAGACGUUCAGAACCAUAAAAGGUAAACUGGUUGUUUCCAAUAUUCUAUUUUUCGUCGGAGUCACAUGUUUGUGAGAAGAAAAUCGGAAAAGUAAGGCAGAAGCGGGAGAGAGCUGCACGACAUCAACUUGCAAAGAAAACCACAAAAUGGCCUCAGAGAUUGUUAGAAAAGUGUAGAGGAUUUCCACAGUGACAAAAAGCAUGCAAUUAUCUGCAACUCCUUGGCAGCCCAUGAAACACAGAUUUUGUAGACUUCCCUUUCUGUGACCAAGACGGUUUUCACGUUAGGAAGAUACAAUCUGAUGAGGGAUCGAAACCAACCAUUGAAUUCUAGAUGCUACUCGAGGACGCAUCCUAACUGCACAAGUUUCUUCAUGGCUCAACUCAAGACCCUGAGUGCUGUUCUUGGAAUAGAAAAAUCAAGUGGCUGACGUAUCAGACCUUGCCCUGGUUCUGCAGUGACACUCAUGUGAUCCUGACAAAUGACUUGGAGAAAAUGAAAAAAUUCUCAUUU